AUCGUUCCUCCCCAAUCACAUUUUUCAUUCUCACAGAACAUCCUCUCAUUCAUAUUUUAAAGACCUGAGUGAUUCACGUCCAACAUCAGAGAGAAGUGGAAUCCUCAUCUCUAGUCAGGCCUUGGCCAUGCAGUGUCCAGUAUUUCCCUGAGGACCCCUGAUUUCCUGGGCCAUGGACAUCUCUCCAUUGGAGACUUGGCUGAGACCACUGAAUUCAUAUCACAGUGAACCAUUUUAAGAUAUUUCUCUCCACUCCAACGAAACAUCUGAGUGCUCCAACCUGGAAAGACCUUAUAAGAAAACAUUUUCAUAUAGAAAGCAUCUUGGUGACAAGUAUUUUGUGGAGUCGAAUCAAUUAAUAAAGAUUAACCACUCCAUCAAGAGGGAUGCCAUCUUGAAAAGAGGAUGAUCCAUCACAGAAACAUGUGUCAGUCCUCAUGCUCUAUGAAGAUUUGGAAAGAGACUUGCAUAGAUUCCUGCGUCCUCAAUGACUGUGGGAAGGGCCUUCUUUUGCUAGUGAAAGGUGAAUGUUUGGAAACAGCAGAAGCAGGCAUUGGACGGAGACAUUCCACGAGUGAGACCCUGUUGCCCUCUCUAAACACAUCCGGUAAUUAAACUCCAGGGAGGCAGAACUGUGUGAGGCAAUGGACAAAACUGGUAAAAUCAAACAGGUACAACCUGCCAGCGAAUAAAUGUAAGCUGCAAGUGAAAAGAAGGUUUUUA
RNAcentral lists this long non-coding RNA (723 nucleotides) under Struthio camelus australis. RNAcentral describes it as "lncRNA (ENSSCUG00000007957.1)". The record is from RNAcentral. Lineage: Eukaryota; Metazoa; Chordata; Aves; Struthioniformes; Struthionidae.